Molecule: ribosomal RNA, 1374 nt
Filed under: uncultured bacterium
Lineage: Bacteria
Description: bacterial SSU rRNA
Rfam family: Bacterial small subunit ribosomal RNA
Source: RNAcentral
AGAGUUUGAUCCUGGCUCAGGACGAACGCUGGCGGCGCGCCUAACACAUGCAAGUCGAACGAGCGAGAGAGAGCUUGCUUUCUCGAGCGAGUGGCGAACGGGUGAGUAACGCGUGAGGAACCUGCCUCAAAGAGGGGGACAACAGUUGGAAACGACUGCUAAUACCGCAUAAGCCCACAGGUCGGCAUCGACCAGUGGGAAAAGGAGCAAUCCGCUUUGAGAUGGCCUCGCGUCCGAUUAGCUAGUUGGUGAGGUAAUGGCCCACCAAGGCGACGAUCGGUAGCCGGACUGAGAGGUUGAACGGCCACAUUGGGACUGAGACACGGCCCAGACUCCUACGGGAGGCAGCAGUGGGGAAUAUUGCACAAUGGGGGAAACCCUGAUGCAGCGACGCCGCGUGGAGGAAGAAGGUCUUCGGAUUGUAAACUCCUGUUGUUGAGGAAGAUAAUGACGGUACUCAACAAGGAAGUGACGGCUAACUACGUGCCAGCAGCCGCGGUAAAACGUAGGUCACAAGCGUUGUCCGGAAUUACUGGGUGUAAAGGGAGCGCAGGCGGGAAGACAAGUUGGAAGUGAAAUCUAUGGGCUCAACCCAUAAACUGCUUUCAAAACUGUUUUUCUUGAGUAGUGCAGAGGUAGGCGGAAUUCCCGGUGUAGCGGUGGAAUGCGCAGAUAUCGGGUGGAACACCGGUGGCGAAGGCGGCCCUCUGGGCCGAGACCGACGCUGAGGCGCGAAAGCUGGGGGAGCGAACAGGAUUAGAUACCCUGGUAGUCCCAGCCGUAAACGAUGGAAGAUAGUAGUGGGGGGAAGAUCCCCACCGGGCAGCAGCCAUCGCAUAAAGCGUCCCGCCUGGGGGAGUACGGCCGCAAGGCUAAAACUCAAAGGAAUUGGCGGGGGCCCGCACAAGCAGCGGAGCAUGUGGCUUAAUUUGAAGCAACGCGAAGAACCUUUACCAGGUCUUGGCAUCCGAUAGCAUAAGGGCAGAGAUGCAUGAAGUCCUUCGGGACAUCGAGACAGGUGGUGCAUGGUUGUCGUCAGCUCGUGUCGUGAGAUGUUGGGUUAAGUCCCGCGACGAGCGCAACCCUUAUUGCCAGUUACUACGUAAGAGGACUCUGGCGAGACUGCCGUUGACAAAACGGAGGAAGGUGGGGAUGACGUCAAAUCAUCAUGCCCUUUAUGACCUGGGCUACACACGUACUACAAUGGCGUUUAACAAAGAGAAGCAAGACCGCGAGGUGGAGCAAAACUCAGAAACAACGUCCCAGUUCGGACUGCAGGCUGCAACUCGCCUGCACGAAGUCGGAAUUGCUAGUAAUCGCAGAUCAGCAUGCUGCGGUGAAUACGUUCCCGGGCCUUGCACACACCGCCCGUCA